Molecule: ribosomal RNA, 2843 nt
Filed under: Ulva tepida
Lineage: Eukaryota; Viridiplantae; Chlorophyta; Ulvophyceae; Ulvales; Ulvaceae
Description: large subunit ribosomal RNA
Rfam family: Bacterial large subunit ribosomal RNA
Source: RNAcentral
CAAAUAUAUUAAAGUUUAUGAUGGAUACCUAGGCAUUUAGAGUCGAUGAAGGGCGUGGAUACCAACGAAAUGCUUCGGUUAGUUGGAAACAAACUUUGAUCCGAAGAUUCCCGAAUAGGAAAACCUAUAUAACUACUUAGUAAAUUCAUAAUUAAGUAAGAGACAACCCGCUGAAUUGAAACAUCUUAGUAAGCGGAGGAAAAGAAAGCAAACGCGAUUUCCUUAGUAGCGGCGAGCGAAACGGAAAUAGUCUAAUCAUUAAAAAAAAAUAUUAAACGAAGCAGCUGAAUCCUGCACCAUAGAUGGUGAAAGUCCAGUAGUUAAAAAUAUAAAAAAUGAUUAUAAAGUAGCAUGGAACACGUGAAAUUCCGUGUGAAUAUACGAGGACCACCUCGUAAGACUAAAUACUCCUAAAUGACCGAUAGUGAAACAGUACCGUGAGGGAAAGGUGAAAAAGAACCCCUGUAGGGGAGUGAAAAAGAACAUGAAAUCGUAAACUGACAAUCAGUGGGAGCUAAAGUGACCGCGUGCCUGUUGAAGAAUGAGCCGGCGACUUAUAGGUAGUGGCUUGGUUAAAAUAACUUUUUGGAGCCAAAGCGAAAGCAAGUCUGAUAAGGGCAUAUGUCACUAUUUAUAGACCCGAACCCGAGUGAUCUAACCAUGGCCAGGAUGAAUCUUGGGUAACACCAAGUGGAAGACCGAACCGACUGAUGUUGAAAAAUCAGCGGAUGAGCUGUGGUUAGGGGUGAAAUUCCAGUCGAACUCGGAGCUAGCUGGAUCUCCUCGAAAUGUGUUGAGGCGCAGCGGUUGAUGAUGGGCUAUUUAGGGGUAAAGCACUGUUUCGGUGCGGGCUGCGAAAGCGGUACCAAAUCGUGGCAAACUAAGAAUACUAAAUAUGCUUUCCAUCAACCAGUAAGACAGUGGGGGAUAAGCUUCAUUGUCAAAAGGGAAACAGCCCAGAUCACCAGUUAAGGCCCCAAAGUGAUAGCUAAGUGAUAAAGGAAGUAAAAAGGCAAAGACAACCAGAAGGUUUGCUUAGAAGCAGCCAUCCUUGAAAGAGUGCGUAAUAGCUCACUGGUAGAGCCUUUUUGCGCCGAAAAUGAACGGGGCUAAGUUAUCCGCCGAAACUGUGGGUUACAGUUUUAACUGUUACGGUAGAGGAGCGUUCCGUUAUAGGGUGAAGUUAAGAUGUGAAUUUUAAUGGACGAAACGGAAGUGAGAAUGUCGGCUUGAGUAACGAAAACAUUGGUGAGAAUCCAAUGCCCCGAAAACCUAAGGGUUCCUUCACAAGGUUCGUCCAUGGAGGGUUAGUCAGGACCUAAGGCGAGAUCGAAAGGUGUAGUCGAUGGAAAACAGGUUAAUAUUCCUGUACUUGAUUUAAUUUGGUAAAGAGGGACGGAGAAGGCGGUAACUAGCUAGAUAUUGGUAUUCUAGUAGAAGUAUUGAAUUCUUAGAAGAAUGAAAAAAAACUUUCUUUAGAAAACAUACGAUCUAACUGAUAUUCUAUACUAUAGGAUAACGGUUUAGUUUUAGUCAUACUUCCAAGAAAAGCUUUUAUUAUCGUUAAAUUAAAUCAACCUGUACCCUAAACUGACACAAGUAGGUAGGUAGAGAAUACUAAGGGGCGCGAGAUAACUCUCUCUAAGGAACUCGGCAAAAUGGCCCCGUAACUUCGGGAGAAGGGGUGCCUACAUAUGUAGGCCGCAGUGACCAGGCCCAGGCGACUGUUUAUCAAAAACACAGGUCUCCGCAAAGUCGUAAGACAAUGUAUGGGGGCUGACGUCUGCCCAGUGCCGGAAGGUAAAAGAAGUUGGUUAUUCUUCGGAAAAAGCUGACGACUGAAGCCCCGGUGAACGGCGGCUGUAACUCUGACAGUCCUAAGGUAGCGAAAUUCCUUGUCGAGUAAGUUUCGACCCGCACGAAAGACGUAACGAUCUGGGCACUGUCUCGGAGAGAGACUCGGUGAAAUAGAAAUGUCUGUGAAGAUGCGGACUACUUAUACCAGGACAGAAAGACCCUAUGAAGCUUGACUGUAAUUUGGAAUUGGGUUCGGGCUUUUUUUGCGCAGUCUAGGUGGGAGGCGUUGAUAUUAAGUUUUCGGGCUUAAUGGAGCCAUCAGUGAGAGACCACUCUAAAAGAGCUAGAAUUCUAAUAGGAUUCCUUGAAUCAGGAUCCUUGACAGUUUCAGAUGGACAGUUUGACUGGGGCGGUGACCUCCCAAAAGGUAACGGAGGUGUGCAAAGGUUCCCUCAAGCUGGACGGAAAUCAGCUGUAGAGUGCAAAGGUAUAAGGGAGCUUGACUGCAAGACCAACAAGUCGAGCAGAGGCGAAAGCCGGCCUUAGUGAUCCGACGGUUCCGAGUGGAAGGGCCGUCGCUCAACGGAUAAAAGUUACUCUAGGGAUAACAGGCUGAUCUCCCCCAAGAGUUCACAUCGACGGGGAGGUUUGGCACCUCGAUGUCGUUUCAUCGCAACCUGGGGCUGGAGUAGGUCCCAAGGGUUGGGCUGUUCGCCCAUAAAAGCGGUACGUGAGAUGGGUUCAGAACGUCGCGAGACAGUUCGGUCCAUAUCCGGUAUAAGCGUAAGAGCAUUGAGAGGAUCUCAACAUUGUACGAGAGGACCCGAAGGGACGUACCGAUGGUGUACCAGUUCUUAUGCCAAUAGGAAACGCUGGGUAGCUAUGUACGGAGUGGAUAAUCGCUGAAAGCAUUUAAGUGAGAAGCCCACCUCAAGAUGAAUGCUCUCUAUUAGAUCGCGGCAAGACAAGCCGAUAGAUUGGCAUCAAGUGUAAGAUUAGUAAUAAUUUCAGCUGAGAUGUACAAAGGAUCGAUUGAUUUUGACCUU